Microcebus murinus (gray mouse lemur) is the source of this 690-nucleotide non-coding RNA. The record is from RefSeq and is a predicted model, not a curated record. Lineage: Eukaryota; Metazoa; Chordata; Mammalia; Primates; Cheirogaleidae.
GAAAACUUCAUUCCUGCUGAAAGGCAGAUGUUCUGAGGACUUCAGGAAAUGCAAACAUGGUCCUGAACACAGAUGCUACCAAUCUGUGUGACCUUUGCCCAAGAUGAGAGCAUCCAAGCAGAAGCGGUGCUGCGGGUUAGGGAUGGGGUGAAGAUCCCAUCCCGUUUACAUUAACGAACCCUGCUCUGCUGCCCGGCCAGUCAGACAUCCUUCACACCAGAGUUUCCCAUGGUCACCUGUGGUUUGAAUCACCUGGAGUGAUGACAGUCACUGGGAGAGAGUCCAGGUAUUUGCCUUUGAAGCAAGCACCCCAGGUAGGCACAGCCCAGAUGACAAAUAUAACUGAAACAAUCGAAACAGCAGUCGGGCGGGCUGCUGGGUCCCACCAAAGCAGGCAUGCGCCGCGAACGCCGCUCAGCUGGGAAGACGGCGAGACCUGGGCUGGAAUCCAAGGCUUUGCACUUGCAACUGCCUGAUAUGAGCAAGUUCCUUAACCUUGAGCAAAUUUCCUAAUCUCUCCGAGCUUUAUUUCUCAAAUAUCUUCAAUUCUGAAUAACAGCAUCACCUUUCGAAAUGUUGUGAGUAUUAAGUAUGCCAACGUGUGGUGGCAAAAUCUAUGGUCCAGAGCAGAGCUGUGAAAAUAAAAGCAGUGAGGGGCUCACCUUUGUGUGUUGCCCACUGGUCCGAGGA